RNAcentral lists this ribosomal RNA (492 nucleotides) under uncultured bacterium. RNAcentral describes it as "partial 16S ribosomal RNA". It matches the Rfam family "Bacterial small subunit ribosomal RNA", at positions 29 to 507 of the family's 1533-position model. The record is from RNAcentral.
AGUGAACGCUGGCGGUAGGCCUAACACAUGCAAGUCGAACGGCAGCACAGUAAGAGCUUGCUCUUACGGGUGGCGAGUGGCGGACGGGUGAGGAAUACAUCGGAAUCUACUUUUUCGUGGGGGAUAACGUAGGGAAACUUACGCUAAUACCGCAUACGACCUACGGGUGAAAGCAGGGGAUCUUCGGACCUUGCGCGAUUGAAUGAGCCGAUGUCGGAUUAGCUAGUUGGCGGGGUAAAGGCCCACCAAGGCGACGAUCCGUAGCUGGUCUGAGAGGAUGACCACCCACAGGGGAACAGAGACCCGGCCCAGCCCCCUGCGGGAGCAACCGUGGGGGAUUGUGGCACAAGGGGCGCAAGCCUUACCCACCCAUCCCGCGGGGGUAAAGAGGCCUUUCGGGUUGUAAGCCCUUUUUUUGGGGAAAAAAAAGCAGCGGUUUAAUCCCCCGGUUUUCUGAGGGUACCAAAAAAAAAACCCCCGGCUAACUUCGUC